This 23231-nucleotide long non-coding RNA is filed under the name Xyrichtys novacula (pearly razorfish). The record is from RNAcentral. Lineage: Eukaryota; Metazoa; Chordata; Actinopteri; Labriformes; Labridae.
GUUCACUUCCGGUGUUAGCGUGUGGUGGAGCCACUUAGCGUCGCCCAUGGACGGCCAUUCAUUUUUCACGAUAUUAACAAGCUCACGACUCGUUUUUUUUGAAAGGUAAAGUAAAAUUUUAUGCUUUCUGUUUUACUUACUCCUGUUCUUCAUAAUACUGUCCGGAACUAAGCAGAAUGCUAACUUCCGCGUACUGAGAAAAAGGUCUAUUUAUAUAGUUCCUACUGCUUUAUGAAAGUCUACUUAUAAGUACAUAAAAUCUGUAUAAACAAGAUUUAAUGACAACCUCACCAUCACCAAGAUGAAUUUUACUGACGUACUGGUUGCUAUAAACUCAGUUUUCACUUUGAUGCCUGUUCAGAAAAAAAAUUAAACUAAUGUCAAUACCACUGGAUGAUUUGGAUGAUGAGCUGUUGUCAAUUUUCAUUUUGCAGUUUGGAACUGAGAGAUUGCUGCUUAUUUUUUUGCCUCUUCACCUGUUACCUCAAACACCCGAGGACGAGACAUCUUCAGAAGUUGGUGCAUCAGAUGCAGCUAACCGCUUGAUGAAAUUCAUACAGGUACGUUCUUAGAAAUGUAAAAUAUAUCACUCUACCUGUGAGUUUCAAAGGUCAGCUCAAUUUUUGACUGAGCUAGUGGCUUAAUGUGAUUUAGAUUUAGUUGUUUGUUUGUUUUUUUCCCACCAGAUGAGCAUAGUGUUUCAGCAUUUUAUUUUCUUUAAAAUUGUGGCACUCCAAGACCAAAAUCAACUGGAUAUAGGGUCCGUUAUUAACUGUUAAACUGUAAUAGGAGUUGGUUGUGUACUGGAUUACAUUGUAUUGAAAGGUGUUCCUAAUAUUUUGCCCCCCCCCCCCCCCCCCCAUGUUUUUUUAAAAAGUGGUCAAAAUAUAAGGAACACGAUUUAGUAUAGAGCACUCCAGUACACCAUGACCACAUACAAGAAGAACAGAUGGCACCUUUCUCACCAUGUCAACAAAAAAUGCAAAUUCUGAAGCUUUCUGAUUGUAGAAUUUGAGGUAGAGCUGUAAGAUUAUAUCUAUAUGUUGUGUAUGCCAUCCUUUAAUGGCAGUGACAUGUUUGGUUCCUGUAGAGUAUGAGGGGGUAAGCAAAUGGGUCAUGGUGCUAAAGACUGAGGAUGUCUACAGUAACCUUAAAUGUUUAGGUGGAGAUAAUUUGAGUGACAGUAUUUUCGGGGAAGUGCUUCAAAGUGUAUUUUAGACUUGAAUUCAUGCUGGAUGAUAUCUCUUAGUGGAGAUAUCUUUUCUUUGUUAGUGCUGGCAAAUUUGAUUAACUUCUAAUGUCAUCUCAUGUCUCAUUUAAGGCCUUCUCUAACUCCUCCUCCUUAUUUCUCUGAAAAUGUUAGACUCAUUUUUCAGUUUAUGUGUGUGUUUUAAACAUGCUUUUUAGAAUUUUUAUGAGUGUCUACGAAUAUAAAAUAUUUUAAUAUGUUAUGUGGUAAAUGAUCCAGAUAUUGCAGGUACAGUACAGCUAUGCUGCUCUGUACAAGUAUCAUGUUUCACUUGUCAUCCCAGACUGUCAGAGCAGCCCUUUACUCAAUAUCAGGCAGUGAUUAGAUCUCCAAGGAAUAUGAGAAAACAAAGUGUCUCUCUAAUAGCGCAAGAAGAAAGAUAGUGAGCAUACCUGUGGCAGACAUGGUGGUGAGUCAUGGGUGUGUGUCGAUUUAGGAUUAGGACUAAGUCCUAGUAACCUUGUGUUAACUGUUAUUUUAGUGUUUUGUUGAAAUCAAGUUAAACAUCAUGGUAAAGAAGGUUUAGUGUAGUCUGAUGCCUGUGAUAAAUUUGAGUGGUUUGUGUAGGUUGAGCCAGUGAAAUACAGAGAUUUCCUGACAUUAGGAUGAAUGGCUGGACAUGUCAGGAAAUGGGUAGUGUGGAAAUGUCACCAAGUAGUGCAGUGGUUGGGCAUGGAGCGAUGCUGAGGCUGAGGAUGUCAGACAGCUUGCUCAUGACCUUCAACCAGAAGGUUUGAACAUAUGGACAGAUCCAGAGGGCGUGGAAGUAGUCAUCUGUUUUGGUUGGGCAGUGUGGACAGGUGUUAUUUUGGCUGAAACCCAUGUGAUACAAUUUGUGAGUGGUGAGGUGGGUUUUGUACGGUAUUUGCUGGGUUUUGGAGUUGAGUGGUUGAUGUAUUAUUGGACAUAUUGUGCCAGUUGAAGUCUGUUGAAAGGUUGCUGAUGCCUGAGGACCAUUUUUCUGACUUUUUUUUAUUUUUAUCUUUAACUCAAUUUACUGAAAGAAGCAGUGGUCGGGAAUCUUGUAUUUCUUUUAUUUGGUUGAAGGUCAUGAGCAAGCCGUCAUGGAGCAGAUGUCCCAGUCUGGCUACUCCUCUCUGGGUUUUCCAAUAGAAGUCAGGGAGCCCCAGCCAAGGGGUGGGUUGAUAGGAGUCAUAGCAAAGGGGUAGUUGAGUUUUGGAAAGAUGCACUUGUGCUAGAGGGGUACAGUUAAACUUAAAAUAGGUCAUUUAAAUUUGAUGAGAUUAAGAUACCAAAGCAAGCAAUACAUUUGGCGGUAUGUAUCAGAAAGGGAUCACCAGCUCAAGCAUCCUAGUCAUGUUUGGUUACAAGCAGAAUCUCAGAUUUUGUCCAUCUGAUAGAGUAGCCAGACACCAUACUGUAGUUACUGCAUAUUAUGGACUGAUGGAAGCAAAGAUGUGGGAUUUGUAAUGUAAAGUAGUAUGUCAUCAGCAAAGAGACUGAUUUUGUGAUGGUGGGAUUUUGAUUGGGUGCCUGUGAUAUGUUUACAUUGUCUGAUGGAAGUAGCCAGAGGUCCAGCAAAGAGAAGUGAGGAUAAUGGGCAUCCUUGUCCAGUAUCUCUCUGUGACUGAAAAGCUUUUGAAACCAGUCCAUUAGUUAUUGCAGAUGCAGUGGGUGAGUUGUUCAGUGUUUUAAUCCAGUUGAUGAAAUAUGGUGGUCAAGGGAGGUGAAGAGAGAGGACCAGUCUAUCACAGCAUCCAGCGUUGCCAUGGCAAAUGGUGAGAUGUUGUAUGGGGGGCUGUUUUCGUGAAAGUUGAUCAGAUUGAAAAGUCUCUGAGUGUUUUGUGAAGAAUGCCUCACUUUGAUGAAACUGCUUUGAGUAGUUAUUUGUGACUAAUGGACUUAUUCAUCAAGAAGCAGUCAGAGUAUGAUUUAUGGUGGGGUGAGUGGUAGGUAUAUUGGUUAUUGCUUGGGUUGUUUAGUCUCCAAAUAGCCAUCAGUCCAUAAUCUGAUGUGUAUUGUUUCAACACAAAUGUAGAUUGGUUGGAUUUGGAAGUGGGAUCGAUCAUUAGAUGGGUCUAAAACUGUGUUGUAAUCGCUGCCUGGGAUGAUGUGUGAGUGAGGGAAGUUAGAUGGUGCUGUGAAUAAAGAAUGAAAAAAGGAGGGAGAGUCUGAGAUGAGUGAGAAUGUCUUUUCCAAUUGUUUCAGGGAUAAUAAUAUAGCAGCUCUCUGGGUCUAUUAGAGUUGAAUUGUGGGUAAAUGGGAUGUUUUUGCUGAUUAGAAUGGAGACACAAGGUUUUUUGGAGCUGUAUGUAGAGCAAUAUGUCUGGUCUAUCCGUUUGUCUGUAAGCUUCUGAGAUUCUGCCUCUGUUAAGUGAGUUUCUUGAGGAAACAGACACCAGAUUGAAGAUUUCUAAGGUGGCUGAUAAUUUUUGUCCUUUUUGGAGAUCAGGAGAGCUGAUUCCUCUCAUGUUAUGUGGUUUAAUUUUCACUGACAGAACCAUGUUCUUGUUAUUGUACAACACUGGGUUUGGUUACACAAUGUGCAGGAAGUAUGCAUAUGGAGUAGGAUUAUGAGUAUGAUAAAUAUGGCACACAAGACAGAAUCAACUUUUGACAUAAACACAAAAAUGUACAAAUAUUAGGAAAAUAUUCACGGGCUGAGAGGAGAGCAGAGUGCCACUGAAGACUCAGCCUUUUGACUACAUUACUGUUUUACAUUACAACUUGUUUAUUGUUUGUAAUCCUCACACUUUCACUCCAACAGGGACUCAUUGAAAGACUUGUUUUGAGAUGCUGGCCUAUGCCAGUUACUAUUCAACAUGCAAGCAUAACCCUGUUGUAAAUUUUAUUCUACACCUAGUGUGGUAGAAAGACUAUCACUUCAUUCCCUGGUUUUAUUUUAAAGCAGGUGGUUUGGUAUUCAAAAGUCUGCUGAGUGUUUUUUUUUACGAGACUGGCUGGAAUUUAACACAACACUGGGCAACACAGCCCUUUGUAGACUAUACAGAGAAUACACAAAUUGUAAUAAUGCCAAGGUUUUUAUCGUUAUUUUGAUAAAUAACUCAAAAUUGAUUUCAGAUGAGUUUUUGUAGUUUUAAAAUUCACGAGGUCAAAAUGCUUCAUGAAAUUAUGUGAGAGUACUGAUUAAAGCAGCCUGUUGCCUUAGAGUAUCGCCAUACAUUUUAUAUUCAAGACGGACCUAUAAAAAUGCUAGAAUUUAUGAAGUAUGACAAAAAUGUUUUUUUUUUGCCAUAAUUAUGUACAGUAAUUCAAAUUUUUGUUUUUUUUUAGUUUUAUUCUAUUGUUUCUGUGCUUUCUUUUCACUCAGACAUAUGUACUAAUAGGGCCCCAUUGUACAGAUCCCUGUGAAGAGCAGGCUGAACUAGCUUCUUGUUGGGGGUGGUGACAGCAGAGGGUAGAGUGAAAAAAUCUAAUAACCUACUUUUAUGAUGAGAUAACUUUCAACAGUACAUAUAAAUAACAUAUUGUGGUUGGACUGCUGUUUGUAAAAAUGAAAGACGUAUAUCUACAUUUUGAAUUUUUGUCACCCUUUCCAAUUUUAAUCUAUUCUUCAAGUGGUUAAAUUCCCAGACUAAACUUGGUCCUAAUAAAAACUUUGCUCUAAUGAAAGAAAUAACUGUCUGUGAAUAUUCAGUCCAAAUUAGGUGUUACCCUGAGCUUGUUUUUCAGAGAUAAGUGUGAUAAAGCAGACACUGUCCUUUUCAGAGAAGCCUUUAUUUUUGCUUUUUGGUAAUAUCCAAAAAGCAACCACAAAAAAGUAAUUUUGCAGUAAUAUCUUUUUAUACAAUCACCCACUUCAUAAACUAGAAAUGUUGAAGUUGUGAAAAAACAUGGUUGUGCUUUGUCCUAUCCCGGUUAGGGAAUUUCUCAAAGACAAAAGCCUUUAUGUGGGUUAGUUCCUCUACUAUUUAUCAAGAUCGACUGAAAGUUUGGUUGAGUUAAAAUUUUCAUGAUGGUGACCACGGUCCAUAGGCUUCAAAAAUAGACUACAGAAACCAUUGGAUGGUGUCUUGGAUACAUAUGCAGUACAUGUUCUCUGAAACUUAGAAAUAAAUGACUAUAUCUGCAUCAUUAUUAACAUCUUGUUUCAAGGUACUGACCUCUACCCAGGCCUCUGUAAUGCAGUGUUGUGUUUUCAUGAUCCAUGUAAUACUUAGGAUCACAACUCACAGAGCGACAAGCAGUCAGCUCUGCUUCCUUUGCAAGCUCCGAUUGUGAAAUGAUUAAUCAGCUUCUGUUCUGAACAGAACGUCUGUUUUUUUGUGUGUAUUUUUUCCACCAUUACAUGUGCCAGCAUGAUAAUAUCUGAACACAUUUCUAUACAUAUGGAACAUCCAUUAUUAGAUGCGUUCCUAUGGAAAUGAAAACAGGAAACUUUGCCCUUGGAAAUAUGUCAAUUUUCUGUGAUUACAGGAUGUGUUAGCAAUGCAGCUGAAUGUAUUUAAUGAGAUGAAUAUAUUUAUUUAAUGUUGUUUAUUCGUCUGUUUAUGCUAGAAAUGAAUGCAGUCAUACAUUCACUUUGCACAGCUCUUCAACAGAACGCUCUGUGUAUAUUUGCGACAUUUGGCAGAACAGGUUUCUUGUAUAUUUGCAGUAAAUAUGACAUGGAGUUACAGUUUGAUUGUAUUUUCUAGUUAUAGGUGUUUUUGUUCUAAAUCCCCUGCAAAUCCCAUAGUCAUUUCUACAUUUUGUUUUGCUAUAUUUUGUCAUAUCCAUUCUUUCUACUGACACAGGCGUACUCCCUGUCAGCUAGUGCCUCCACAUUGCUCAGGAGCUCAGUGAAGCUGGGUCUGUCUUCGGUGACAUGUGCCAUCAGCAGUGCAUGACUGUGGAGAAAUCUGUUGAGAGCUACAGGGCACUGUACUGAAUGGUUCCCAUUGAUCUACAUUUGCCUGACACUGUGACUGACAGAGCCAAUCAGCCUAUCAUGGCCCUGGAGACGGACAGACACUCAUUUACAGGUGAGAUGGGUUAGGAUGAGUUUGAUUGAUUGGCAGACUGUCACCAAGCCACUGGGGCAUUUCAAAACCAUCUCUGCACAGUGGGAGAGCAAUAUUAUGUUGGCGUAUGAGUGUGUAUGUGUUUGCGAGUGCAGGUGGUCAGCCUUGUACAGAUUACCCAGUGCACCUUGAGUGUGUUGACAGGUAAAGGAUCAGGCUGUCAGAUUGGCCCCGCCCACAUCUUUAGAAACUGGUGACGGGGAUAAUGCCAGGAAAGAAUCAUAUACAGUCUUUGCAUGGAUGCAGACCCAUCAAAGUACACACAUACACGCCUUCAAGAUGUCUCUCUCAUCUGCAGAUGUAUUUAUAUUAGAUCUCUCUCUCUCUCUCUCUCUCCAUCUCCUCCCUCUCUCCAUCCUGUGGUGUAGUGUUGGAUCCAGCAGUGCCAUUACUCAAACACAGCUUGUCAGCACAGAUAACAGUUGUUUGUUGUUUAACACUAUACAGAGCGUUGCAUUGCCAGUCAAAGUCUAAAAAAAAACAACAUUCUUUAUUCCCUCUAUUUUUUUUUACAUGAUUUUACAUUCAGCAUAUUCAAAGCUGGCUUGAACAGGCUUCAUGUCUUACACCAGAAAUUAUUUUUCCUUUUUGUCAUAUCGCAAAAAUCACAAUUAAUGGAGGGGAAAUGUAUUUCAUGCGAAAUGCUUCUUCAGCAUAUUUAGAUAUCAAUCAAAGUACAGAGGAAGGGUGUCUUGAAUAGCCUAAUUUUGUUCAUAUAUUAACCACCUGUUCCUCAGUCUAUAUUUCGUUUACAGUAUGUCUUUGGUUUGGGGACCUGGAUCUUUGUUCUGGUGGGAAGUCAGUGUGACAUGGUUUUAAAUCACCCUGUUAUUCAGAGUGCAAAUACUGCCCUCAUGUGGCUGAGCUUUGUUUGUCAAGCAGAGACAACUGAUGAACAUACAAAUUCCUACAACAGUUCCUAGAAAAACAGAAGGCGCAAAAAGUAGGUGUUAAAAUGUGUAAGUCCUCAGCAAUGAACCAGUUAAUGCCCAGAGAGAGCUGAACCAUCAUAUAAUGAAAGUAAUAAUGCAGGUUUGUUGGCCACUAACAUGCCCUUGUUUUGUAUUUUUUAUUCAUAUGAUUUAAAUUCGAUUAAAGCUGAUUGUGCUUGUGAUUUUUUUGGUCUUUUUUCUUCAUGUACCGCUGCCUUGAUACCUUGUUUUUGUUUUGUAUUUUUGACAGGAAGCUGUAAUUUGUGUUUUUACUUUUAUGAUGAAUUCUGUGACUAAAGGGGGACUUAUUUUCUUUAGGAGUAGUGUAUGUAAAAGAGGAAGUGUGAAAAUUCUCCUACUGAUCUGAAGAAUGUAAAACUACAAUCCAGGUAUCCAUGUCAAUAUGUUUUCAUGCAAUUUGUUUCCACUUCUUCAAGUAAAAUGAAUGUAGCCUUUAUAACAUUUACGUGGUGUUAUAAAAUUUAUGUAUUUUAAUUAUUUUUUUGUACCAACAACAGUUUACUGAACAUCCAACCUUCUGGCCAAUGGGAAUAAGACUGCUGAUUUCCUCCAUCUUCCACUCAAGGAAACAGCGGCUUAUCAAGUGCUGUUUUAAGUUUAAUGAUUUUAUCCUUGAUUGCUAAAAGAGUGGAAAAACACACACAGGCGACUCCGUUGUUACUCCAUUGUCAGCUUGUCGAGGCUGCACUUGUUUUUCUUCUCUGUAUAUAAUUGCAUACCACCACCUGCUAUGUUGAAGUAUACAUGCUUGUCAGUAAGUGCAGGAAAGCAGCAUUUACUGGUUGUUUAUACAAGAUUGUAUUUUCUGAAUAAUGUGUUUCACGAAAUUGCUGAAUGACACAUUACUCCAUGGUGACAAAUUUUACAGAUAUUUUUGUCUGGGUUUUGGCGAGAUCUCUGAUAAAUUCAUAAUGCAGGUUUCCAUUAAUGUGUAAUGGGGACCCUGCAGCCCACACAAUGAGAGACAUUAUUGAUGAAAAGUCUCGGCUGAGCUGCAUACUGCAUGAAUUGUUUGCAGUGUCUCUCUCUCUGGGUGGUCUGGUUCAUCUACAAGGUUUCUUGGGAGAGGAAGCAUGUGGUGUCACAGUUUCCUGUGUGAUCUGACAGUACGCUUCAGUGUGUGAGCGUGUGUGUGUGUUAUUGAUGUGCUGUUGACGUGUUUCUCUGAGGGUCGUUACGCUCUUGUGGAGGCUGUUACUGGAACACACCUGUUGCUGCUGAAACUGCUCAAAAAAGUCUUCUGUUUGAAAAAAAUCUGCAUGAGGAGGAUAUAAAAGGCCUAGUUUAUGAUAAAUAUAGUCAUUUAUAUACCUUUUAAAAGUCCUUUCUGCCCCCUGCAUGUCUAAUCUUAAACUCCUGUCUUUUUCUGCUGUUUUAUUUUUAUAGUGGCUGUUUUAUUUUGUGGGAACACUCAGCAGAAACCAGACACCAUCCUGGGACAUAUAACUGAAUACUUGUGAAAAGUGGUGAACAAGCCAACAAUUCCGAUAAUACUACACCGUAUGGACCAUUAGCCAACACGUCUGCUGACACCUUCUACCCCGCACAUAUGUGUAUUCUCACCCGUAUGUUAUUCCUCAUGUCCAGGCAUCUGCAGACUGCUUUUCCUGCGCCCAGAUGAUUCUGGAACUCAGGCUGUUUUAUCAAGUGCAAGAGUCCCUGAAUGAGCUUCCCACCUUUGGUUUGGCAAAUUACAUUUCCUGCAAAAUCCCUCUAGUAAUAACCUCAGCGCCAGGAGGUGUGUUUAAACAUAAUAAAUCGACAGUUAAAAGACGGGCAGACAGACAAAGGGAGGAAAGUAUAUAAGAGACAGCUCAGCUUCCCUACAUUUAAAACAGAGUCUUUGAACACGUAUAAGUUUGGAAACAGACGCAGGUUUUUAUUUGUUUUUUCUGCAACCCUUACAAUUUUAACUACAGUGUCAGCUUUAAUCCAGCAGAUGGCAGUAAAACACAAUUGAGACAGCAUUCAUACUUCAAUGUUAACUCAGGGUCACUUGGCUUUACAUCCCUAAUGUUAUCAGGGGAUGUUUUACUUAAGAGCUGAAACAGAAAAUCUCAUUCAUGUCUGAGUAUCUUCACCUAAUGAUAGAAUUCAGUUACUUUGGAGUUUCUUUGUUUACUUUAUAUGAGCGUAUGAAUCCAAGCGCUCUCCACACAUUCACAAAGCCAUGCACGAGCCAACAUUAACUCCCUCUAAAGCUUUACAUUGAAUAUUUUCCUCUUAAUUACCACCUUUGCUUAAUUCUCAGAAUGCACAAGGAGUAGGAGAAAAAAAUCAAUAAUUGACAUGGAUGAUGUCUUGCAUUUCUCAAUAAUUUCUUGGAGUUUGCAGUGAUUAUCUUAUCUUUCAAGAAAACAUGUCAUAACACUUUACUUUCCUGGGAAAAAUAAUGAUGAAGAGAGGCUGUAGGUCAAAGGAGAGGGGGCUGUUUGUACAGACUGACAUUUGGCACAGGCAUACAUAAACAAACAGCUCUGGUGAUGACAAAAAUUUCUGUUUUAACCAACUAUUAAAAAACAAAAUCUGACGGGUCAACUUUUGUUGAUUUUAAAAUUCCGGCAACAUUUCUAUCAGCUUAGUUAGAAAAUGUAAGCUUGAUUAAAGCUCCUGUGAGGAGUUUUUGAUUGGUGAUGAAACGGAUUGAUAUAAGCAGUGAGACAUCUAUAUGACGUUUGAAUGCAAGUAAGACUUUCUUUCUUUAUUGUAACUUUUAAUGACUGUUACUGCUGUGAGGGUGCAGGGGCCUGUUCUACGAAGCAGGAUUACUGCUUACCGAGGUAACUUCAAGGGUAAGUUUGGGGUUUCCUUUUCUACGACGUGGCCCUCUUCUCACUUCUUAGCGAGGUGAGUCUCCAUGACAACGUACCCUUAAACGGCUAACCUGCUCCGGGCAGGUUAGGUUCCAGAUUGAUCUCGCCGAGUAGAAAAACCCUGCUCACGGACCAAUGAGCUCUCUCAAAAAAAAAGGCGUUUCUGUUCUUGGAGGAUCCUAUAGACCUCGGUGCUCGCAUUGUCCGAGGAGCACUCCGGCGCGAGAGAGUUUUCAGGGACUGCACGAACCCACUUACUUUUCCGGAUGACCACCUUUAUGAAAGGCUCAUAUGGCCGACAUAUCACACAAAAAAUGUAAACACGAUAGGAAUGAACAAAUGAAUGAAUUCAUCUUGGAAAUUAAUUAGACGUGUCUGGUGCAUGUUAAAAGCGCAUGUUGAACAGUGCUAUUUCAGGGUGAUAAUGGCAUCAAGGAUUUUUUGCGCUCUAUACUUACGCAUUGAGACUGUCGGCAAUUUUCUGUUAGAAUUCCUUCCGUGCUUUUUCAGCGGCGACGGUGUUGUUGCUUUUGAGGUUUAUGAUGAUCUGAAUUCUGCAUUCUUUCUCAUGAUCGUCACCUGCUCCUCGUUUUUAAAGUAUGUGGUCCUUCGCUCUCCUGCUCCGACGCUCCAGAUUGGUCCAUGUUCGCGAUUGGUCAGAUGCGGCGGGCUCAGCCUUACAUGCGUGCACGCGCUCAUAGCAAAGCUAGAUCCAAUUAUGAGGUUGAUAACCAGCGUCGUAAGACCGUUUAGCGAGACCGCUGGCUACCGCACUAAGUUGAGCAAGGUAGCUCCAAGGCUACCUCGCUAGGUCGAACUUGCUUCGUAGAAUAGGCCCCAGGUAUGCUAAAGAAACAUCCUUUCUUAUUUUUCCCACUACAAACAUGAACAAGGUCCAGAUAAAAUCAACAACCGUACAAGAGUUAUCAUUUUGUCCACAGAGGGCGCCAAAUCAGUCUCAGUGACUUUUCUAAUGCCAAAUAUUUACAGUAGGUGAGAAAUUUCACCCUAAAAAGUCAACAGGAGGAUGUUUGUUUGUCAACUAACCCGACUCUUUAUGAAGUCGGCAACAACAUAAGAGUUACCACUUUGUCCACAGGGGGCACCAAAACCAAUGCAGACAGAGAGUGCUUCACAGGAGCUUUAACAGUGCACUGUAUGUAUGUUUAAAGUAGUUUGUAUUAAAAAGAAUCAAAGAAAAAGCCUUUUGUAUAAAUAGAUACAGCAGGUCCUCGCUCCAGGGGCUGACAUGUUGCGCUGCCAUGUUUUUUUUACAGUAACUCAGAGUUGACUAAUGAGCAGGAAGUGAACAUGUUUGGUCAAUGACUGGGUUGCUACACAACAUGCUGUGUAAGGGGAAUGGAGAGAGCUGAGUGGGAUUGAUUGUUGUUUUUGAUGUACUUAUACUUAUCACUGCAAAAGCACAAUGAGAUCCGGACAGGCGACAGCAGACAACAGGGGUGAGAAUCAAUGUUUCCUUUUAUGAUCCCUAUGUUUGAAGAGGGACACCAAAAUUGCCAGUUUCACGCUGGACAAGUAGGAGAACAUUUAUUCAUUCAAACUAACAUUAGUUUAAAGAACAAUGAAGCCUGGAUUAUCUCAGUUAGGGCUGCUUUCAGAGAUAUUGCUAAUAUUUCAUCAGAAUGAUAAGAGUCAACAGUGGGGUGAUGUUGUGCCAAUAACUCAUCAUUUAUUCCUUUUCUCUGACAGUAUCAUGACUCAUUGUACUCAAACUAACUAGAAAAGGCCAACAAUUAGCCACAUGAUGCUGUUUUGAAAGGGGGUGCAGAGUCCUGAUACUUCUAACAAUGUGGUGCUGAGGCGACAAAUCGUUAGGUACAAUUAAAUGAGACUCUCCAUGUUCCUCAUUCUGGCACAGGCUGAUUGCUGCGGAACCAAAACUCUCAAAACAUGAUAACUUUAUUCUCGUAAUAGUAUGGCUUUACUUUGACUUGAUUUUUAUCAUAAUAUGCCUUUAAUCUUGUAACAUUACAACUGGAUUUUAAUACGGCUUUACUCUUAAUCCUCUGAGGAAAAUGUUGUUUUUCUUAUCCUGUGGGAAAGUGACGUAAAAGAAAAAUCUCAUUUUAUUAUGUGACCAUAUAUUUUGUUGUAGCUACGUAAGAAACAGUUGCUUUUUUUAAGCAUUCCUUGUCUAAUAUCAGCUUCUAUUACUAAACCAAUAAACUACUCAUUGUCAAUAUCUUAAAACUGACCUGAAAAACAUCACCAUCUAGGUAUCUGAAUUAUGUUACAUGCAUCUGUUUUAGAUGAUGCCAUCUUUAUUCCGUUAAUCCCUUUUGGUUCUCGAGGGCCACCGUUGCUUUAGUGAAUUCUACAGACUGCACCUUUAAAUAAGCUGCAUUAAAAUGUUACAGCAUGUAGGCAAUUAAGUUAUGUUGUUUUCUUUGAGUUUACUUACUAAAAUACCACAUGGAUAAUGACAGUAAAAACACUUUACAAACUAUGUAAAUUAUUUAUUAACCCAUUACAGCCAGCGCUUGAAAUGAGCUGGAAUGCUCUAGUGUGCAGUACAGCCACUUCUCUACUGAACCCCUUACCAUACUGAGACUUUUCUGUCCUCUCCUUAUCACAGUUUACGUGUUUAUUUCAGGAGAAAUUACCACCAAACUCUCUAUUUACUAGAAAGAGUUCUCUUCUCAAGCACUUAACAGAGAAAACAAAGAUGGGAAAUUGAUCUGUUAAGCUGUACAGCAGGAUGAAAAAUCUUUUGAUUUAAUAAAUGUAGUGUUGGAAUGAAACCUGCGUUUCUUCCUGGCUGGAGAAGAGCUUAUCAGCAAAGCUUGUGUUUCCUGAUAAAACUGAAACUCCUUUCCAAUAAUGCACAGAGGGGAGGAGGAGGGAAGCAGGAACAAUCAGCCGAUACAGAGGAAGAUGCUUUGCUGCGCUGCAAUUGGCUGCUUGAAAGUCGGCAGUCGGCCACAAAUCAACACUUAACGUUCAGGAGGCUGGGGGAUUCUGGGAAAGCAUGUGACAACAGCAGGCAGCAUAACAGCUUAAAUAAUCACGCCUAGAUUUGCUGGAUAUUACAAGAACUGCUUGCCGGGCGGAAGAUGCAUAAUCAUGCUUCCAGGAAGGGAGCUGAGCUGAACGACUUCUGGCUGUGGUUGGAUGUCAUUACGCCAAUUUCCACUUCUAUUCAUGAUUGCAUUAUUACAAUAUCAGGCUCUCAGGGCACUCUGGGUUUGCACUGAUUGGUUCUUGCUCUUACAGGACAGCUUCUUUAGUUGAAAUCAGCUGGAUGCUUUGUUAAAUGUGUAGAUCUGGGAUGUUCUAGCAGGAUAAGGGUGUGUUUUCAGUUGGGAGUUAUACUCCACUUUGGCCAGCAGAUGUCAGCACAUACCUACUAGUCAUGUCACUUGCUUGAGCUGAAUCAGUAGCUGCUCCCUGGAACAUGCCUUCAUGUUUUCAUUUUCAAUCCACUUCACAGAGAAAACUGCUGUCAUUGCAUGUCCUUACAUCAGGUUAUGGAUGCUACUUCUUAACUCCAGUUCUGAGCUGCAAAUCAGUGUGUCAGUGAAGUUAGCAGAUAUUUCCAAGCCUACUUUUAUGGGUUAAUAAUGGAUUCAGCUCUAAUGUCUUUCCCAGCCUUACUUCUUCCAUCAAGUGUUGUGAAACACUUUCCUGGCUGCAUGUUUUAUUUUCAGUGUUCGUCUGAAUCCUGAUACCGCUAAAUACGCCAGGAUCAAAACAUGACCUUUUACAGCAUGUUCCGGGUUCUGCGCGUCAUGUUGUAUGACUGUUGUGACAUGUCUUGCAUUUGCCCUCGUGCAGCCUUUCACAACAACUCUCAUACCUUCAAUUAAGCUCUAUACAGCACAUGGAAAGGCCAGGGGGGGGAAAGAUGAAUCGUUUUGUCACAUGCUGUCACCUGACUACGAAAGAUGAGUGAGAGAACACAGGGUGCUGUUACAGUCUGUGUGAUCGUUGCAUGAUUUAAAGCUGGUUCCACUCUCCUCUCUGCAAAGGGGGUCAUGUGGUGUUGGUAUGCCGAUGGACACCAGCACCGUCCAUUUCUGGAGGUAUGGCAUGUCUGGCUGUGACAUCACUGUCCUGCUGACUGCAUCGCUGAUGAAGCGGCACAACUAUGUUUGGAGAUUUUUACGUUAGCUGCAACCAAGUAAGGGUGAAAAAAUGGACAUGCAGGGAAAGCAAAGUCUGGGUUUUUCCAACUAAAAUUGUGGCCCCGCCUCCCAGUUAGAGAUCUGUUCUUCCAUGUAAUAACCUAUUGUCUAAAAACUCAUGUAACAUGUUCGUUUUUCCAGUCAUGCUCUGAACAGGAUCACCUUUCCUUCCUAAAGGGCAAACUCUUGAACACAUCAUGUGAACUAUCUCUCCUGUUCCCUGUUUUGACUUUUUCUGCCAACUUCCUGAUUUACUUUUACCCCAAACACCCAACCUAAUAUUUACACCCAUACUCUUCGUCUGCCCCUCUGUCUUUUUGCCUGCAGAUAAAAAACAAUCUGAUACUUAUUUUUCCCUGUUUGGUAGCACAUCCGUCAACUAAAGUUCUGCAAUAGUACUGUUGGGAACAACCUUCACCAGGAGGCUAAAAAACCAAUCUAACCUUAAAAAGGUCACUAUGAAACAACAUGAGCGCAGUUAUCCCCGAGGUGGAACUCAGACAGUUGUCGUGACUUUUAUGUCCUAAGCUGUUAUACUUUGUACUCAGUAGAAACAGCACUGACUGUUCACUUGGGGCAGAUGUAGGUCAGGAAGCUGGUAUGAGGGAAACAGCACGUGAGUGACAUACGACACAUAUUUCUGUGUCGUUUUGAACAAAACAGGAGAAGAAGAAGAAGGAGGAGGAGGAGGGGAAGAGUGAGCGUGAGAGAUUCAUGCAGGUUCUUCCAGUUUAUCUAUUCAACUUGGAGUAUAAUGAGAUGGACAUACUGUACACUGCAGAGAAUUUAGCCCUACAGUAACAACAAGCAGAGGUAUCAGACUUCAGUGUAUUGUCAGGCUGUGCUGUAUUGCAUGCCAUAAAACAUUUCCCAGCAUAGCUUUGCAGAGCUGACAGCUAAAAAGCACGCUAAACCCGCACAGAAAGGUCAGAGAUUGCAGAUAUCUGAAUCAAAGGGUAACUUUCUGAGUGUACCAAUGUGUAGAAAGGAAAACAAAACGGCAGUCAGAUUUUGAUAAUCAGUCACCUCUCAGUCCCUAGUGACCUUUUCUUGCAAAGUGGUGCCUCUUUUCGGUAAAGCAGGCCUGUUUUUCUUACAUGCCUUUUGCCUUCAAUAACCCAAAUGUCACUCAAGGUCCCAUAGGGGCAUGCACCCUUUCACUGUGACAUGAUAAAACUCCCCCCAGCGUGUACCAAAAACUUUCACCUCCCCCUCACAGAGAGUGGGAAGCGCUCACUGACUCAGAGCUGACACUGGUGGACUUUCAGUUCUGUUUGCAGUUUACUCCACAGUGAAAAGAAGACCCCCGGUUAUUUGAAGUUGCAUACAUGCACGGGUUUAGGAAACAUGAUAAACUUGCAAACAGUACAUCCCUUUCAUGUAUCUCCUGUGUGGCGUGCAUGCGUGCGGUAAAGAGAGGUGAACAGAGGUGGAGGGAGGUGAAUGGAGGUGGAGGGUGAAAAGGAGGUAAACAAAUGGAACAAUGAAACACGGUGCAGGACAUUCUGACCCAGAGUGAGGAGAAAGGAACAGAGUAAGGCUAGAGUAACACCAUGUGUCUGCCUUAGCCCUUGGAACAGUGCCCCCAUGCCAAGACUGUCAAUAGAUCACACAGUGGCACACAUGGAUACACACAUGCAAAGACCAAUACACACACUUACAGGCCUGUUACGUGCAAGCACUUACAAAUACUUAAAUAAUCACUCACGCACACACUACUCAGUGUUGCACUGCUAAUGAUGUUCUCUGAAGAGAACAGGAAAGGGGAUCAAUAGCUAUUAGAAAGCACUGUGAGGUUGUAUUUCCCUCUCUUCCCUCUAAUGUAAGCUGGCUAUGAUUUGUUUCAGUAAAAGUGCACAGCCAUUUCUUUUCAUCUGGUCACUUACUAUUACAGUAACAACUAAAUAUUACCAGCAGUACAUUUCCUAUUCCUCUGUGACAGAGGGGUUAUAUUUGUUUUGUAUUCCUGAGUGAUGACAAAAAGGCUGCAUACUAUAUUUAGACAUUUUCACUGCAAAACCUCAAGAUAUUAAUAGGAACACAGAAGCUACGUAUAUGACCAUAAUUUGAUAGUUUGCAGUCAUCAGGGAUUACAGAGGAGUUUUCUUGUUCUGUGUUUGUGGACUUUGAUGAGCUGAAGAAGACACUACUUGUCCCUUGGAGUUCACAUUACUUUCUAUGAUUGCUUUUAUAGGAGAGGAUCUCAAAAUAGCCCCAUAGAGGAACAGGCUGUCUUUGAAACAUGUGUCUGUAACACAUGUUGGGAAAAAAACAAUCUUUACAAGAUGCCAUGAUGCUUUGACAAAAGGCAUGAAAAAUUGGAUUUGGGUCAAAGAACAUUGUGAUAUUUGUUCCUCUCAACAUGGGCAGUUCUGCUAUAAUAAUAACUGCAGCUGGCUAUCUCUAUUUGGCCAGGCUGUGAUUUCAAAUGUAGAACGGAGGCCUAUUUAAAGGGUCAUUGAAGCUGACUGCAGAGUGCUUUUGUGUGAUGCUUGACAUUUUAUAUACGUAGGAGUGCAACACGGGACAUGCAUCCCUGUCUGCCUCACAUGGCAAGACAGGUCAUGCAUCUGUGUCUGCCUUAGAUGUUAUGUUCAAUAUCUGCAGCAUGAUGGGUCGGUGAAUGUUGGCAUGGACUGCUGAAAAGAAAUCUUGGAACAUGAUUUGCAUUCAGAGAAGUAACCAGUGCUGCAGAGAUUUAAUAGGAAAAACACUAUGUGCAUGCAAGAAAAUCAUGCAAUUGCGUAAAUACUUGUCUCUAGAUAUGGUAAUGCACUACAUUUCACAACAACAUAGUAAAUAAUGAAUGCUGUAAUGAAAAUGUAGCAAAAUCAGUCAUCAAAUCACUGCAAUCUUUGCCCUGUUUGCUUUGACUCAGCUUUCCUACCAACGAUGCCAUGUGUGCCGUUCUCUCUCUGUGUACACAGAGCCACCGUGUGUUCAUAAACUUGGGGGAAACUCCAGCUUGCCACAGAUGAGCAAAGUCUCCCAUCAAACAGUCAAAAUCUGAUCACUGUGUGAGAAAUGGCAGCUGCAAAACAGCAGCAGAGAAAAGGUUUAGCAGUCAGUGCUUACACAUCAGUUUGAAAGUCUCUGUGUGUAAAAGCGGGUUUGUUUGGCAUGCUCUGGUAACCCCCCACAUUCAGAGAAAAAGCUAACCAGCUUUUGAAACUGUGCAAAAAAAAAAAUUCUCCCCAGUUGCAUAACAUCUUCUUAUGUGUCGCGUGUUUUGUGUAAGGCUUAGUCAGCUGUUAAAAUUAAAAAACAUCAGACUCCCAGUAUGAAGAAACACAUUCAUGCUGCACUUUGAGGAUGCUAGCUUCAUGUAUUGUGUAGCUUAGACAGAAAGCCUCCAUCUCACUGUCUCUCUAUUUGAAAAGCCACGUGUUGGUCUGUCAUUAAAGGUCAGAGGUCAAUCAGUAGCAGGUCGAGAAGUCAGCAGGUCAGAGGUAGGUCUCUGUGUUGUAAUUGUGCCGUCCCUUGGGCUGUGUAAAAGGGACUAGACAGCUGUCCUGCCCCAUAAAGAUACAUUAACCCUGCCCUGGCUAAGUGCAAACUGGGCCUAUCUAGUCCAUGAAUGGCUGUUUAAUGGCUGCAGACAGAGAGGACUGAUGGACAGAUGAAACAUAGAUUUGCCACUGCAGGAUCUUGUGGGCUCUCUCUAUGAUUGUUGCAGCCUUAAAUGCCCGAUUUUGGUCAUUUGUCAUCACUUUUGGUUAAUUUCUGUGUUGACUUUGAAUAAAAAAUAUAAAAAGUUGAUUACUACCUCACUGCAAACUCUACAUGUUCUUUACAACCUCCUACUGGUAUAUGAUAAAGUCUGUUUUGGGGGGAUGACUUAGGGGAAGUUUUAACAUCUUCUGGAAGAGUGCAGUUUGUGCAGCCCUCUCUAGAACUAUCUAUGAUGUUUGCAACCCUGCUAGCUACCAGUACUGCACUGAGAACAGCCUGCAACCACAUAUCUGAGACUGCUGGUCACAUGUUUGUCCAAGGCAUGACUUUAGCUUGAUUUUAAAACAUAAAAUACAACUAUCUGUAUCAUCAUGUUAUUUAGGGUGACCAUACCAGGAUCAGGGUCCUCGUUUACAUGGACAUGUCCUCUUUUUUGGGGGCUGUCCAGGCUUGUCCGGCUUAGUCCAGGGAAGUUUAUAAAAUCCUUCAAAUGUCUGCGGUUUUGUCUGUAAGUUUCGAUUUUGUGUCACAUGGACUUACUGAGUUAGAAGCAUGUAAAAGACACUCAAUCCGACCCGAAAAAACUCUUGAAAUCAACUUUGUGCGACUCCGUGACUCCACCCCCACGUAGUUGUGUCCUCUUUUUGGAGAUUCAGAAUAUGGUCACCCUAAUGUUAUUGUAUGUACUCAGUUAUAGGAUGCAGCCCUUUUUUUAGAUGAAAAAAGCAUUAAAAUUGGCUCUGAAUCGUGGGGUAGAUUAGUAACACAGCCUCUGGUUGGUGGAGAGCAGGGAGCAUGUAGCUUCUGAUUGGUCUUUGGCUUUACAAAAUGCACCAGGAAUGGCUAGGUUAAAUAUUUUUAACACAGAAAUAUGAAUAUAAAAAGGGUACGUAAUGGAUUUUAACUGCUGUGAAUUUACUUUGAAAGUCUUAAAAAACAAACAGACUGUAGUUUAAGGCUGGAUUAGGAUGCCCCUAUUUAAUAGAGACUGGACCUGUCUGCUGUGAUGCAGAAAAAAAGUAUGUUUUUAUUGUGCUGUGGUCCACUGAUAUUAUUGACAGUAAAAAGUACUUUUAGAUAUUUUAUAGAGCAUACCUGAGAGUCAAAGAAUUGAAUUUGGCAGCAGAAAUAACACUGCCAGGAGGAGAAACUUGGUGAGAAGAUGUGGAUUUCGACAAAACUGCAAAUUUGCACAGAAUAUACUGAGAUUGUUCUAAUUUGACUCGACUUUUGCAACUGCUAUUUAACAAGACAGACACUGUAAGAUUUGACUGAUAGAAAAAGUCACUCUGAAGCGUGGACUCAUGAGCCUCUAGUGCCUUCGCUGUUUAAUGAUGCAUCAAAAACAAGUACACUGAGCAUUGUGCGUCUGUAAAGAGGUGGUUCUCUGUGUGGUGCAGCUGUUGCGUCUCCCCUGGGUGAAGAGGAGGGUAAAAGGGACAGAGGAGAGGGUCUCUGCCCUGCACUGUCUGUUUCAUUGUACUGCUGCUCCUCUCAUUCUCUGCCUACUUCUCAGGUUUCACAGCCCACACGCCUGAAUCACACAGUCACCAAUGAUGUGCACACUCACUCUCGCACUCACACUCACACACUCAUACACUUUCUACCCGCGGGGAUGAUUCACUGUUACCCCCCUCAUUUCCCUGGGGAGCAGUGACUCAGGGUGAGAGGAGAGGAAGAAGAAAAGGACAGAAUAUAAUAGGGCCCAGUAAUAAGUGAGAAGAACAUAGAGCGACUGGUUUGAGAGUGGUGUAAGGAUGAGCAGUUUGGCCUUCAGUCCUUUGAGGAGGCAGCAGGCGCUCUGUGGAGCUCAACUUGUGCUGAACAUGAGCUUCAUGAUGCACACUGCUGGUCUUAGUCACCACGGCAACUGUUAUGCGGUGUUCAGCAGAGGGACAUUUUCUGCAAACGACAUUCAGCAUUGUUCCAGAAGUGCAGCGCCCCCCUCAGCCCCCCUGAUAUUGUUUCAAAGAUGUUCUCCUGUGAAUAACAGAUGCCCUUGGAGAGAGAAUACUUCAUUUUGGCUUCCAGGAAUUAAAUCAAGACACAAUCACUGGAAAUGAAUGAGCUGAGAUUGAUUUACUUUUGAAUCAUUCGAAGGAAACACGGAUAAAACAAAAGUGCAAAGACAAAUAACUUUUAAAAGAAAGUGUAGUGCUUUCACUUAUAAAACCAGAAGCAGUCUGGCCUGUGCUUUCUUCUUUCAGUGCACCUAAGAGACUUCAGCCUGAGUAGUUGAGUGACAGAGCUCUUAUCAGCAGAUCUGCUUACUGUGCUGCAAUGUGCCAACGUGCAGGUCACACAAGCAGAACAUGUAACCCACAAGAGAAGCCAUGUUUCUGUGGAUUCCCUGCUAGAUAAGUCAAGGUAUCAGAAUUACUCUUCGAGGAAAAUACCCAACUUUUCAUUGGUAGAAAAUCAAACCAGGCCAGCAGAUUUCUUUGGAGUUUUAUAACAACAGCCAAGCACAAAGGCAACCUAUCAGAAAAUGUUCUGACCUUUCGAUCUCUUCAUACUCUCUUUCUAUUUCUCUGUCCUUUCACAUGUGGUACAGUUAUUGCUGUACAGGUCCACCCAAUUUCUGAGAGAAGCUACUUCACUUUCUUGUCAAGUGGUCCUAAUUGGUGCUGUUAUGAGCAGUCAGUGUGUGACCUUACUUGUCUGAGAAGUGGGGUGAGUCAGAGUGCAUUAAGAGCGGCAUCUUAAAGUACGGCCUUACCACAUGGUGUGGUGCUGAAAGAGAGAAGGAGAGAGAACCUCACCUCACAGCAGUCAGGCAUAUGACUCACGGCUCUUUCUCUCUGGGAUGCUUUCAACCCUAUGUGGGUGUGUGUGUGUGGGACUGUCAGUGUGUGGUAGUGUGUGGUGAGGAUCGGCACCGGCUAAUGUCAUUUAGUUUCAUGCAACAACAGUUUCAGCCUUAGCAUGAAUGCAUGUAAGUUUUACAAACAUACCCGUGUUUUAUCACACAUAUAAAUCUUAUCAAGUAAGGUUUGAGUUACCAAUUCCAAAUGACAUGUCGUAACCAUCUUACUCAAAUGAAAAUAACCUCAAGCUGGGGCACCCAUGAUGUCUUGUUGUGAAGUGAAUGCUGAGCAAAGUGGAGUUUCCUUCUGUGGAGGAAUCCCCCCUGUGCAGCGACCUGGUUUCUGUCUGUUUCACCCACACACACCGCACUAACACACACCCACACAUACAGUACUGCAGACAGUGCAAAUGAAAAGGCUGAUUUGUAUAUGUAGCUAGCACACACUGUAAUAGUAAUGUUAGGUCAGAGGAAUACUACAGUUGUUACAAUAUAAAAACUAGUACUUGUAUAGUACUAUGUAUAAUGGCUGCCCCUUGCAGUUACUGUUUUGGAGUAUCAAAGAGUAGCUACAAGGGAAAUUUAAUGAUAUAUUAGCAAUCAGUGUUUUCUAAUCAUCUGUUUUAUGACUGAAUACUAAGUGAAAAAAAGGUAAAAUAACUGAAUAAAGUUAUGAUUUAUCAAAAUAAUCUACCAUACUAAUUGUAAUAUCGGUAACACCUUAUUUGAUGCCUUCCUCUAAAACACAUGAUAAAUAUAUUUAUAAUGCAUUCUAAUCAUGUUAUAGCACUGUAUAACUAUAGUUAUAAACACUCAUAAAUGAUUAUAAUGAUUUAUAGCAAUGAUCAUAACACAUUAUAAAGCAUUUUAUCAUGACCUACAAGGUCAGGUAUUAUAAUGUGUUAUGAUUAUUGUCAUAAAGCUUUAUGAAAACUAAUGAGUGUUUAUAAUGAUAGUUAUACAAGUUUAUAAGCAAAUUAUAACACAUCAUAAAUAUAUGUACAAUGCAUUAUCUAUGUGGGCAUUGUCAGUGAGUUGUUAACAAUUAUAACACAUUAUAAUACCUGACCUUGUAAGUCAUGAUAAAAUGCUUUAUAAUAUGUUAUGAUUAUUGCUAUAAAGCGUUAUGAUCAUUUAUGAGUGUUUAUAACUAUAGUUAUACAGUGCUAUAACGUGAUUGUAAUGCAUUAUACAUACUUGUAUAGUACUAUUUAUAAUGGCUGCCCCCUCGCAGCUACUGUUUUAGAGAAACAAAGUAGCAAAGCAAAAAGUAGAAACUUUUAUGUUUCAUCAAAAUAAUCAACCAUACUAACUGUAAUAUCAGUUAUAAAGACCCAACGCUGAUGCAACAUGAACAAGUUCUCCACAAUUUUUGUCAGCAGUGUAAAGAGAGAGCUUCUUUUCACAGGUAGAAACCUUGUGCAGAACCAGAUUCAUGUUUAAUAUCUAUCUGCUGCAAUGAGAUGAGCCAAGAAAGUGAGAUUGAGGUCGAGAUAGAAAGUGAGAACUCAGCAUAAUAAUUAGAAGUUUCCCCGUUUUCACAGUAAAAACCUCAAACCAGUGUCCUAUUACCUUGAUCACAGUGACAUAUUGGUGACUACGCAGCGACAGAGGGCCAAACAGACAGAGGUCAUCAUUGGCUUGACCCCUCUAAUGGAGUAUGGUGAUCUCUGACCUUUGACCAGUCUGCUCAGCCCAGUCAUGGCCCUUAUUGACUCAGAUCAAGAGUCAGCUCACACUUUGCUGGUCUGGGUCUGAAGGAAAAGUGAAAACUGGCUCUGGAUCAGCGUCUGUGACCCUUUUAGACCCUCCUGCUCAGCAGUCCAUGUGGCUUACAGGGAGGAGGAAGUGAGCGUAACGUGUGAUUAUUAUCUGACUGACAGGAAACCCUUUUGUCUCCGGGGUUAUCUGGCUGCUUGCAGAGGAGAUGACGUGAACACCAGAGGACAGAGAGGCUUUUUCACCAGCCCUUUGGACCACAACCAGCAAAAGAUGACUCCAAAACUGAUGUCCCCCCUCUAGUCUACUGCUGAAGUUUACCUUAAAUCCUGCAGGUCAAAUCAACAUGUAAUUAAACCAUACCAGCAUGCACUCUUUUCCUCCCACUCUUUCAUGUCUUGCCAUCUCGUGUGUCCUUAUUGUCCUGCUGCUUUUGUUGUUUUACACAGCAUGUAAAAUUUCACAGGAAUCAUGAGUAAUGGGACCCCAUGGUGCAUAGACACAGUUACAUGGUGGUCUGGCACACGCUCCACUUCUCUGUGUUCUCUGUUUACCUUUGUCAUAUCAGUGUGCGCUCAGUUUAUAAAGCAAAAGAUAGCAGAAGGGUAAAUAUUCUAUAAAUAUAGAGGCUCUAAAUCUGUCUGAUAUACACAGAGCUGGCCAAGUUGGUGCUCAUAGCAAGGUUAUGUCUUGACAUCUCCAAAUUUAUUGGGGGUGCAAAAUUUAUGGGGAUUUCUUAUUAGGACUUCAGGAGAAAAGUCUGCUAUUAAUAGUCCAGUAUCAGUUUUUCUGCCACAGAGUAUCAGUUCACAUGCCAUAAUGCAAUAUGAAGCCCAGGCCUGAUUAUAACCUUGAUUAUUAUUAUUCGUUAUUGUAACUCUUUAACCUC